RNAcentral lists this long non-coding RNA (1027 nucleotides) under Vulpes vulpes (red fox). RNAcentral's name for it is "lncRNA (ENSVVUG00000029644.1)". Lineage: Eukaryota; Metazoa; Chordata; Mammalia; Carnivora; Canidae. The record is from RNAcentral.
AUGAGCCAUCAAGCCAUGAGGAGACGGGGAGCAACCUUGAGGGCAAAUCCCCAGGCGAAAGAAGCCAAUCUGAAAAGGCCACAUGCCGUCUGGUUCCACCUACAUGACGUCCUGGAAGAGGCAAAGCGAUGGAGGCAGGAAAGCGAUCAGUGGGCUGAGAGCCGAAUCCAGUCGCAGCCAGACAGAGAAACGUGUCCACGUGACUCGCCGACGACUCGGGGCAAGUGGCACGAGAGGUUAUUUAUUAGAAUUUCACUCUGCAUUGCGACACCGCCCUUCAGAUCACCUCUGCGGUUGGGCAAUCCCUGCCCUAUAAAUACCGAGGCACUCCCGCCUCUGGCAGCCUCUGGAAGCCUCCAGAAGCCUCAGGAAGCUGGGCCUGCGAGGAGCCUCUCUCCCUUCCCUGGGCAUCCCGGCCCAGCCUGCGGCCGUCAUGAGGCCUCUCUACUUGCUGCUGCUGCUUCUGUGCCUUCUCUUCUCCUACCUGCCCCCAGUGAGUCUCAGAAAAGUUGCCUUUCAAGUCCCCGGGCAGCCUGGAACAAGAACUGGAUCCCAGAUGUGGCCCCAGACCCCGUAUCCUCCUGCGUGUGGACCGCAAGAACCACGGAGGCAGGACCUGGAUUAGAAACCCCCCGGGAACUCACACCGGGCAUUGCCGACGGGCUGAGCGGGCCAUGGCCAGCAGAGACCUCGUGGGCCACGUGUCUGUGGAACCAGGCCUCGGGCCUUUGGUCCCGUUCCAGCCCCAUCUGAAGUUUGGUGGCCUGUCCCGCAGGAGUGCCCGUGCGCUGCUUCCGUCCCCAGACAGCCGAAGCAGCCCCGGAGAGGGCGCCUGCCGGCUCGGGGGGCUAGGGACCCGAAGCCUGCUGUUCACUAGGGUCCUGGUCUCGGGGUCCGGGCUGGGAUGGAGCCUGGUGGGGGGCGGGGGGGGCUGGCUCAGCCGGGAGUCUGCUUCUCUCCCUCUGCACCCCCUGCACCCCCGCUCUCCUCUCUCUCAAAUAAAUAAAAUCCUUUAAAAAACGAACCA